UAAUCACUAUUAUUUUACGCCGCUACUUAAGCUUUAACACACAUUAAAUGCACAUUAUUAUCUAACACGGUGUGGUUUAAAACUAGCAUUUGCAGUGUUUCAGUUGUUAGUUUUUACGUUAACGCGAACUACGAAGGCGGUCAAAGUCGACUGAGAAAUGUAAGGUAACUUCCUUACUUUCAUCAUGAAUUUCUAUGACGACCCCAAUGCAUUUCAAAAAUUUUUAUCCGACAAAAGGUUAAUUGAUGACAUUUAUAAUUCGAUAAAACAAAAAGACAAAGGUGUAGCUGUUGUGACGGCUCUCGAAAUAUUGAUGAAAACAAAAAAACUUCCCGUGAUAAGGAAUGAUCCCAAACAUGAGGGUGUAUCAAUACAUUUCCGGAAGCUUGGUGACAAAGCCUGUGAGGAGGAAGAUUACAAGAAGGCAUUAUAUUUCUAUAACGCGGCACUACGUAGAGCACCAAAAAAUUCCAAUGCUUUACUGGAAGCAUACUUUGGCAGAUCCAGUCUCUUGUUCCAUACUAAAAAUAACUACUGGCCAAAUUGCUCGAUUGAUAUUGAUAUUUGUCUUGCGCUUGACAACGGCGCCUAUGAGUCAAGACUUAAAGAAAUGAAAGCCGAAUGUCUAUUUGAUAAACAUUUACUAGAGUACGGUAACCCUUCACGGAAUACGUUUAUCGAAAAUUUCUUUACAAUUCAAGGAAAAACACAAAAACAAGUGCCAAGUGUGAGUGCGGCAGUUGAUUUCAUCAUCAAAGAUGGGCGGACCAAAAUCAUCGCCCAAAAAAACAUUCCCCUAGGAACACUGGUCGCACUUGAAACUGCGUAUGUUGGACUUUUGAAUCCAGAAAAUCAAAUCAGGGCUUGUCAUUACUGUCAUGCGUUCUCGUUAAAUUUGAUUCCAUGUGACAACUGUAACUACGCGUUAUUCUGCAACGAGGAAUGUAAAAGGCUUUGCUAUGAGGAGUAUCAUGACGUAGAAUGCCAUAUUAUUCACGUGUUUCAUGUAUUAUGUGCUCACAAUUUACUAUACUGGUUGUCUGUAAAAGCAGCAAUAAAACUAAAGAAAAAAUGCACCUGGGAGGAAUUCAAAAUUAUAUCCUCACACUUAGGGGUGAAAAAGAUGAAUUCCAGUUUAAUAAAUGAAGUAUAUGAUUUAAACAACAAACUAUCUAUUUUGAACGUCAAUACUGACAAGCAUUUCGUUUUUGGAACGACUUAUAAUGCGAUUUUUAUUUAUGCAACCAUCAUUCAUUAUUUAGAAAGCGUGCCAUCUUUUUUUCCUAGUGGUGAAGAAAAAGCUGACGCUAUACGGUCCCUGGGUAGGGUAUUGCUUCAUUUAAAUAUGACAAUGGGGACUGUAGCUAUAGAAACUUCACUUGUCAACAGUACCGCUCAUGACAAAAUAACAAAUGUCCCGGAGAAAAAUGUUGGUGUGUUUUCAUUUACAAGUAAACUGAAGCAUAGCUGCGAUUCUAAUUUGUAUGUGGUUGGGCUAAACAACAAAGUAGCUCUAAUUGCAUUGAAACCAAUCAAGCCCGGAGACGAGUUAACAAUAUCACACGUGGGUCACUGGUAUGAGCAUACGUACAAAAACCGUACGUUGCACCUGUUUACCAAAACACAAAUAAGGUGCCAGUGUGUUGUCUGUGUGGAAUGGGGAGAGAAAAAUUUGCGAAAUGCAAAAAUGAACAACCAGCAAAAAAAAUCAUACAACAAUUUUAAUUUCUUAAAAGCACAAUUGUUUUUGGAAUUCGCUGGCACGAAUAGGAGAACAGAAACGCUAUAUAAAGAAUCUUGUAGCUGCCUCACUGCAUUCAGUGAUCAACCAAACACCAAAGAGCAUUACGAACUUUUUCAAGAUUUUAAAGAGGCAAUAGAAUAUUUGAAAUGUAUAGCUACCAACAAUAAAACGCUUUUAGAA
Molecule: long non-coding RNA, 1924 nt
Organism: Ostrinia nubilalis (European corn borer)
Lineage: Eukaryota; Metazoa; Arthropoda; Insecta; Lepidoptera; Crambidae
Exons: 3
Source: RefSeq, a predicted model, not a curated record